GCUGUAACAUCUAUCAGGCAGGGUGCUUGCAUGCAUUAAAUAGGUCACACACUGAAAUGACUAGUGGCAGCUGUUUUACUUGCAGAGAAGAGUACCUCUGAAGAACUCUGUAACUUCAGGACAGUGCUGCUUCUUGUGUAUCCUGAAGUGUCCUUGAAACAUGGAGGGAAGCAAAGUGCGGAAUAUCAAGACAGCCAAAACACACACUGGUACUGUGGGAGAACUAGCAAGAGGUUGGCAGAGUUGGUCAGAAGAUCAUGUUGAUUAUCAGAGACGGAAUCCAUUCAGCAGCAACAGGCCCGUAACUCUAUGCGCACGAAGGGGAGAUGCCACCUAUGGGAGACCCCCUGAAGGCUCCAAAACAGAACAGAGGGGGAAAGAUGCUCACAUCCACAUAGGCAAGGAAGUGGAAGAACUAUGCCUGGUCAUAAGGAGUGUUGGGGAGACAGGCCAGGAUGGACAUGUAAAAAUAACAUUCAAACAGCUCUUUGAUAGAUAUGUAACCAUAUCCAAUAAGGUAGUUGGUGUUCUACUGAGAGCAAGGAAACAUGGCUUGGUUGAUUUUGAAGGUGAAAUGCUUUGGCAAGGAAAAGAUGAUGAUGUCAUUAUUACCUUACUUGAGUAAAAUAGCUAGGUAUUAAACAUAGUGUAUGUAGUUGAGAACCGUUGAAAGCCUUAAACAUCAACAGUGUUGGCUGGCCAAAACACUGAAAAAAUUACUUUAAAGGUGCAGAAAGUAAGUAUUCUGUAAUGAGUGUACAGCUUUGCCGAUGAAUUCUGCAAUCAGUUUAUGCUAGCCUACUCUUAUGUAUCUCCAGCAAUAAGACCUGAUGUACUCCCACAUUCUAUUCAACUGGUCUGAAAGAACCCUGGAUCUGGAAAUGUGUGAGCACUAUAUUUCAUGACUUGUCACUUUGGAAAUGCAGGCAUGAAUAAAAAAAUAAAAUAGAAGUGACAUAAAUCAGA
Heteronotia binoei (common prickly gecko) is the source of this 966-nucleotide long non-coding RNA. RefSeq lists it as uncharacterized. The record is from RefSeq and is a predicted model, not a curated record. The transcript has 2 exons. NCBI's taxonomy places the organism in Eukaryota, Metazoa, Chordata, Lepidosauria, Squamata, Gekkonidae.